AUUGAACGCUGGCGGCAUGCUUUACACAUGCAAGUCGAACGGUAACAGGCCGCAAGGUGCUGACGAGUGGCGAACGGGUGAGCAAUGCAUCGGAACGUGCCCAGUCGUGGGGGAUAACUACUCGAAAGAGUAGCUAAUACCGCAUACGAUCUAUGGAUGACAGCGGGGGACCGUAAGGCCUCGCGCGAUUGGAGCGGCCUAUGUCAGAUUAGGUAGUUGGUGGGGUAAAGGCUCACCAAGCCAACGAUCUGUAGCUGGUCUGAGAGGACGACCAGCCACACUGGGACUGAGACACGGCCCAGACUCCUACGGGAGGCAGCAGUGGGGAAUUUUGGACAAUGGGCGCAAGCCUGAUCCAGCAAUGCCGCGUGCAGGAAGAAGGCCUUCGGGUUGUAAACUGCUUUUGUACGGAACGAAACGGCUCUGGUUAAUACCCGGGGCUAAUGACGGUACCGUAAGAAUAAGCACCGGCUAACUACGUG
This 482-nucleotide ribosomal RNA is filed under the name uncultured bacterium. RNAcentral describes it as "partial 16S ribosomal RNA". It matches the Rfam family "Bacterial small subunit ribosomal RNA", at positions 30 to 507 of the family's 1533-position model. The record is from RNAcentral.